UACGAAGGGGGCUAGCGUUGCUCGGAAUCACUGGGCGUAAAGGGUGCGUAGGCGGGUUUUUAAGUCAGGGGUGAAAUCCUGGAGCUCAACUCCAGAACUGCCUUUGAUACUGAAGAUCUUUGAGUCCGGGAGAGGUGAGUGGAACUGCGAGUGUAGAGGUGAAAUUCGUAGAUAUUCGCAAGAACACCAGUGGCGAAGGCGGCUCACUGGCCCGAUACUGACGCUGAGGCACGAAAGCGUGGGGAGCAAACAGG
This 254-nucleotide ribosomal RNA is filed under the name uncultured bacterium. Its description in RNAcentral is "partial 16S ribosomal RNA". It matches the Rfam family "Bacterial small subunit ribosomal RNA", at positions 524 to 776 of the family's 1533-position model. The record is from RNAcentral.